RNAcentral lists this transfer RNA (71 nucleotides) under Loxodonta africana (African savanna elephant). It matches the Rfam family "tRNA". Rfam says of the family: Transfer RNA (tRNA) molecules are approximately 80 nucleotides in length. Their secondary structure includes four short double-helical elements and three loops (D, anti-codon, and T loops). The record is from Rfam by way of RNAcentral. Lineage: Eukaryota; Metazoa; Chordata; Mammalia; Proboscidea; Elephantidae.
GUGUUGGUAGUUCAGUGGUAGAAUUCCCACUUCGCAUAUAGAAGACCUGGGUUUGAUUCCUGGCCAAUACG